AACGAACGCUGGCGGCAGGCUUAACACAUGCAAGUCGAGCGCAUCCUUCGGGGUGAGCUGCGGACGGGUGAGUAACGCGUGGGAACGUGCCCUCUUCUACGGAAUAGCCUCGGGAAACUGAGAGUAAUGCCGUAAAAGCCCGCAAGGGGCAAGAUAUAUCGGAGGAGGAUCGGCCCGCGUUGGAUUAGGUAGUUGGUGGGGUAACGGCCUACCAAGCGGACGAUCCAUAGCUGGGUUGAGAGGAUGAUCAGCCACACUGGGGGGGAGACACGGCCCAGACUCCUACGGGAGGCAGCAGUGGGGAAUCUUGGACAACGGGGGCAACCAUGAUCCAGCCAGGCCGCGUGAUCCAUGAAGGCCUUAGGGUUGUAAAGAUCUUUCAGCUGGGAAGAUAAUGACGGUACCAGCAGAAGAAGCCCCGGCUAACUCCGUG
RNAcentral lists this ribosomal RNA (433 nucleotides) under uncultured bacterium. RNAcentral's name for it is "partial 16S ribosomal RNA". It matches the Rfam family "Bacterial small subunit ribosomal RNA", at positions 29 to 507 of the family's 1533-position model. The record is from RNAcentral.